UACAGAGGUCCCGAGCGUUGUUCGGAUUCACUGGGCGUAAAGGGUGCGUAGGUGGCGAGGUAAGUCGGAUGUGAAAGCUCGGAGCUCAACUCCGAAAUGGCAUUGGAAACUACCUUGCUCGAGGGUUGGAGGGGGGACUGGAAUACUUGGUGUAGCAGUGAAAUGCGUAGAUAUCAGUAGGAACACCAAUGGCGAAGGCAGCUUGCUGGGCCACACCUGACGCUAAGGCACGAAAGCGUGGGGAGCGAACAGG
This 253-nucleotide ribosomal RNA is filed under the name uncultured bacterium. Its description in RNAcentral is "partial 16S ribosomal RNA". It matches the Rfam family "Bacterial small subunit ribosomal RNA", at positions 524 to 776 of the family's 1533-position model. The record is from RNAcentral.